UAGCUCAGCGGCAUAAGCACCUGCCUUGCAAGCAGGCAGUCAUGAGUUCGAUCCCCAU
This 58-nucleotide transfer RNA is filed under the name Cavia porcellus (domestic guinea pig). It matches the Rfam family "tRNA", at positions 8 to 63 of the family's 71-position model. Rfam says of the family: Transfer RNA (tRNA) molecules are approximately 80 nucleotides in length. Their secondary structure includes four short double-helical elements and three loops (D, anti-codon, and T loops). Further hydrogen bonds mediate the characteristic L-shaped molecular structure. tRNAs have two regions of fundamental functional importance: the anti-codon, which is responsible for specific mRNA codon recognition, and the 3' end, to which the tRNAs corresponding amino acid is attached (by aminoacyl-tRNA synthetases). tRNAs cope with the degeneracy of the genetic code in two manners: having more than one tRNA (with a specific anti-codon) for a particular amino acid; and 'wobble' base-pairing, i.e. permitting non-standard base-pairing at the 3rd anti-codon position. The record is from Rfam by way of RNAcentral. Lineage: Eukaryota; Metazoa; Chordata; Mammalia; Rodentia; Caviidae.